AACCUCCGCAAUGUGAGAAAUCGCGACGGGGGGAUCCCAAGUGCCAUUCUUAACGGGAUGGCUUUUCAUUAGUGUAAAGAGCUUUUGGAAUAAGGGCUGGGCAAGACCGGUGCCAGCCGCCGCGGUAACACCGGCAGCUCUAGUGGUAGCAGUUUUUAUUGGGCCUAAAGCGUCCGUAGCCGGUUUAAUAAGUCUCUGGUGAAAUCCUGUAGCUUAACUGUGGGAAUCGCUGGAGAUACUAUUAGACUUGAGACCGGGAGAGGUUAGAGGUACUCCCAGGGUAGAGGUGAAAUUCUGUAAUCCUGGGAGGACCGCCUGUUGCGAAGGCGUCUAACUGGAACGGUUCUGACGGUGAGGGACGAAAGUUAGGGGCGCGAACCGGAUUAGAUACCCGGGUAGUCCUAACUGUAAACGAUGCGGACUUGGUGUUGGGGUGGCUUUGAGCUGCUCCAGUGCCGAAGGGAAGCUGUUAAGUCCGCCGCCUGGGAAGUACGGUCGCAAGACUGAAACUUAAAGGAAGU
This 521-nucleotide ribosomal RNA is filed under the name uncultured bacterium. Its description in RNAcentral is "bacterial SSU rRNA". It matches the Rfam family "Archaeal small subunit ribosomal RNA", at positions 345 to 866 of the family's 1478-position model. The record is from RNAcentral.